UUUCUCUGAAUGUUAUAGGGGGCAGACAAUUUUAUGAGUUUACACUGUAUAAGCUUUAUACAGAGUAAAACAGAUUUAUUUGGGGAUGUGAUUGUGAGCAGGG
This is a long non-coding RNA of Gopherus evgoodei (Goodes thornscrub tortoise), 103 nucleotides long. RefSeq lists it as uncharacterized. The record is from RefSeq and is a predicted model, not a curated record. NCBI's taxonomy places the organism in Eukaryota, Metazoa, Chordata, Testudines, Testudinidae. The transcript has 3 exons.